CCUACGGGGUGCAGCAGUGAGGAAUAUUGGUCAAUGGACGAGAGUCUGAACCAGCCAAGUAGCGUGAAGGAUGACUGCCCUAUGGGUUGUAAACUUCUUUUAUAUGGGAAUAAAAUGUUCCACGUGUGGGAUUUUGUAUGUACCAUAUGAAUAAGGAUCGGCUAACUCCGUGCCAGCAGCCGCGGUAAUACGGAGGAUCCGAGCGUUAUCCGGAUUUAUUGGGUUUAAAGGGAGCGUAGGUGGAUUGUUAAGUCAGUUGUGAAAGUUUGCGGCUCAACCGUAAAAUUGCAGUUGAAACUGGCAGUCUUGAGUACAGUAGAGGUGGGCGGAAUUCGUGGUGUAGCGGUGAAAUGCUUAGAUAUCAAGAAGAACUCCGAUUGCGAAGGCAGUUCACUGGACUGCAACUGACACUGAGGCUCGAAAGUGUGGGUAUCAAACAGGAUUAGAUACCCCUGUAGUC
This 460-nucleotide ribosomal RNA is filed under the name uncultured bacterium. Its description in RNAcentral is "partial 16S ribosomal RNA". It matches the Rfam family "Bacterial small subunit ribosomal RNA", at positions 338 to 795 of the family's 1533-position model. The record is from RNAcentral.